GGGCCUGUAGCUCAGCCUGGUUAGAGCACCGCUCUUAUAAGGCGGGGGUCCCAAGUUCAAAUCUUGGCAGGCCCA
RNAcentral lists this transfer RNA (75 nucleotides) under Candidatus Pacearchaeota archaeon. RNAcentral's name for it is "tRNA-Ile". It matches the Rfam family "tRNA". From Rfam's summary of the family: Transfer RNA (tRNA) molecules are approximately 80 nucleotides in length. The record is from RNAcentral. Lineage: Archaea; Nanobdellati.